RNAcentral lists this ribosomal RNA (667 nucleotides) under uncultured bacterium. RNAcentral describes it as "bacterial SSU rRNA". It matches the Rfam family "Bacterial small subunit ribosomal RNA", at positions 111 to 794 of the family's 1533-position model. The record is from RNAcentral.
UAACGCGUGGGCAACCUGCCCCAUACAGGGGGAUAACNGCCGGAAACGGCUGCUAAAACCGCAUAAGCGCACAAGGGCCGCAUGGCCUGGUGUGAAAAACUCCGGUGGUAUGGGAUGGGCCCGCGUCUGAUUAGCUAGUUGGCGGGGGAGAGGCCCACCAAGGCGACGAUCAGUAGCCGACCUGAGAGGGUGGCCGGCCACAUUGGGACUGAGACACGGCCCAAACUCCUACGGGAGGCAGCAGUGGGGAAUAUUGCACAAUGGGGGAAACCCUGAUGCAGCGACGCCGCGCGAGCGAAGAAGUAUUUCGGUAUGUAAAGCUCUAUCAGCAGGGAAGAAAAAUGACGGUACCUGAGUAAGAAGCACCGGCUAAAUACGUGCCAGCAGCCGCGGUAAUACGUAUGGUGCAAGCGUUAUCCGGAUUUACUGGGUGUAAAGGGAGCGCAGGCGGUGCGGCAAGUCUGAUGUGAAAGCCCGGGGCUCAACCCCGGGACUGCAUUGGAAACUACCGAACUAGAGUGUCGGAGAGGUAAGUGGAAUUCCUAGUGUAGCGGUGAAAUGCGUAGAUAUUAGGAGGAACACCAGUGGCGAAGGCGGCUUACUGGACGAUAACUGACGCUGAGGCUCGAAAGCGUGGGGAGCAAACAGGAUUAGAUACCCUGGUAGU